Amphiprion ocellaris (clown anemonefish) is the source of this 1733-nucleotide long non-coding RNA. RefSeq lists it as uncharacterized. The transcript has 2 exons. NCBI's taxonomy places the organism in Eukaryota, Metazoa, Chordata, Actinopteri, Pomacentridae. The record is from RefSeq and is a predicted model, not a curated record.
GAGAGGAGAGGAGAGGAGAGGAGAGGAGAGGAGAGGAGACAGGAGAGGAGAGUUGGAAUGACAGCCAUCAUUACUCAGACAGGGAACUCCAUGUAAGUCCUGGAUGAUCUUCAGCAUCUGCAGCCAGUGUGUGUGUGUGUGUGUGUGUGUGUGUGUGUGUGUGUGUGUGUGUGUGUCCACUCGUGACAUUUCCAUCACUUCAUUCCAUUACGAACUCCUUUUGGCACGAGGCUGGAGAAGUUGGACCGAUCACACUCAUAAUGAGAAACUCAUAUGUAACCGCUGUUAUUUCAACACAUAAGAGAGAUCCACCUUUCACGUACCACAUUGUAGCCUUGAAAACAAUUUUCAGUGACUAGUUAGCAGUGAUCAAAGUUACACACUUCAACUGUACUGAACAAUGAAUAGAUAAAUAUAUGAUAUAUAUAUAUAUAUCUAAAUAUAAUGGAUAUACUUGGCCACAGAGGUCAAACUUGUCACACGUCUUGUCUGCAUUAAGUAAAGAACAUAUUCCUUAUAAUCUCUUUAUAAUGAAAAGAAAAUAAUGCUACUUAUAUCACAAAAUGUGCGUAACAAUGACUCAGUUUUGUCUGACCUGUGUUUAUAUUCCUGUCUCUGUAAUAUUUAAGCUCUGUGGCUUCUUAUUUAAUGCUGUUUCCAUCAGCUGUAACAGAGCAGAGCCAGAUGUUGCUGUGUACUUUCUCAUGUGUUUUAUUGAAAGUGUAUUGAUGUGAUGGAUUUUCCUUUGAUAGUUGAGUCUGUGGAAAACUAUGGAAGAAAUUAAAGCACCUCAAUAAAAACUUCAUAAACCAAGACAUAAAGUUGCAUAAAGACAUACAAUGCACAGUAUUAUAUCAGUUUCUUUCGUAUGCACGCAUUGUACUGUCACAGCCACAGCUUAAGGCUGUGGACUGUGGUAGUGCUUCCUGCUCUCUCUCUCUCCUAGGUGUGUUCAUGGUGAAGCUAGCAGCAGGUGUGCUGCAUCGUAAUCAGCAGACGAGCUGCAGGUGGAGCUGAGUGACUGGUCUCUGAGUGUCUCUAUAAAAGCAGAUUGCACCCAUCAUUCGAAGCUGGACCAUCGUCUGAUCUCCAAAAGCUGAUUCCUGUCUGCUGAGUUGCCUGGGUUCCUUCGUCUGUUGGUUUCCGCCCAACCACAGAUUCUGCCUUCUUCUCCGGAGGAUCUCCACCUGUUGCCAGCUUAACCUGGGAACAUCAACGUACACCUGGAAAGAGGAGUUUCUCUGGAAACAUCUGCCACGACCAGGUUCUACUGAUACCAACUUACCAAGCACAUGGCGAACACUGGGAGGGAGAGUUCUGGAUGAAGUCAAGCCAAAAGGACUGUUCUCAGCUCAUCAGUUAAGUCUCCAAGCCCUAGUAUCACCAGACUCUUUGUAUUGUUAAUACGUUGAUUUAAAUAGUCAGCGUUCCGUAUUUAACUUAAUGUAUUUUAUGCUUUGCAUUGGAUAGCUUUAGUCUGGGGUUUCAGCUCAUAAUUACUGGUAGUCUAGGCUGGGUUAGUUUUGUAUUUUCAGUUGUUUCCCUACCUUGGUGUUACCAUACGUGGGUUAACCUUAGUUUCAGUUUCCAUGUUCAUGUAGUUAUUCCUCCAUACCUUUAGAUGGUUUUUGUUUUUGAGUUCUAGUAGUAGUUUAGUUCUUCUUUGUCUAAGAUUCUAGUUCCGGUUCCUGUAUAGCGUUUCUUGUUGUGAAUAAAAGCAUUUUUAAAAUGUU